CCGGCUUAGAGCGAGUGAGGAAUAUUUAUUAUAACAAUAAGAUUUGAAAACUAAAACACACAAAAACAAUAAUUAUCUUACCUGUUACUAAAUCACAUAAUUAGUUACCACAAUUAUUCUUUUCCCUUGACUUUUCCCUUGACUUGCGGAUCAAACAACUUAAAUUUUUUGAAAAUUUAACGUAUAAAAUAUAUCCAUAAUUGACACCUUUCAUAUGAAAUUGAGAUCAUAAAUAUCUACUAUCAAACUAUUUCAUAUAUUCUGUCUAACCAAUAUUAUCUUUAAUACAAACUUAAGCUUAUUUAUAAUUUUUUUAUCAGUAACAUCAAAUUUAUAUUUUCAUUUUAUUUUCUUACAGAUUUAAAUCUUAAUUUUUAUAUGUUCUAAAUUUGAUAGAAGUUUAACAAUCAUUUUAUUUUCUUACAGUUGUUAUAACUAAUGUACCAUUUAAAACUAGCAUACUAACUAAUAAUUGUCUAUUUUCCAUACUUUUCAUUAUAAAAAUUUGUUUGCUAUAUAUCUUAGACAUGGAUUUAAUUAUAUAAAUGUUGAAUUUAUACUCAAUAUUGGUAAUACAUUUUACGUUAAAACGGAAAAUUAAAAAAAUUACUCGAUUUUAUACAACUGCAUUUACAAAUAUAACAUUAUGUAUAAACAAAAAAUAAAUGUAAAAUUAAAUACCCGUGCGGUCGCACGGGUCAAGAUCUAGUUAUUAUAUUGAAACAGAAUUGUUAACAAAUGAUCCAUCUUUUCCUAGCAUCUAACAAGAAAAGGAAAGAAAUAAAAGUAUGAAAUUUUAGUGACCUUGAGGCCUGAUCCGCUUAUAAAUGUCAUCUAUCUACCGGAGUAGCUUGGUCAAGGACUAUGCAGCCCGUCUUGAACAUUAGUUCUUUGUUAAUUUUAAAAUUAAAUAGCAUUUGAUUGAUAAGUUGAAGGUAAACAUUAUCAAUUAAAUAAUUUUUAAUCAAUAGAAAAUAAUAUUUAAUUAUAUUUGUCAUUCAGUUAAUUAUUUGUUAUAAAAACAGAUUUGUAAGUAUUUUAUGUACUUAUAGCAUAUUAAUAUUUUAUUUUGUAUUAUCAGGUUCUAUUAGAUGAUUUGAUGAACAAGAUAUGGUUGAAAACUUAUGAUAUAUAACAUCAUGGACAAAUUCCUGACAGAUAAAAUUUGGUGGAUAUCUUGGUAACCAAGAAUUAUGGACAUUUUAAUGCUAUUAACUAGAAACGUGGACACACUAUAAAGAGAUAAAAAUAAUAUACAAACUAAUAUUGGAUAGAUGUGUUGUGAACGAAUGAGUUAUGUAUGAACGAGUUGUUCUCUCUCUCUCUCAGUCGUGAUCCUUUUCAAGGAUAGAGAUGGAACUAGCUGUCGACUUAGAUCUAGCUAGGUUUUUCAGAAUGAGGGGCUGUCAUGAAUUGGUUGAGUGUCUUUACACAGCCACACUCCAUUGUGUGAGUGUAAUUGAUGCCCACAUAAAUGUGCUAUAUAUGAAAAAUCAGGAAGAGCAGACAAAAACUAGUGUUGAUGGUAGAGUAUAGGAGCUCUGGAAAUCGAGGAUAUAUAGCGAUACUAAGAAGAACUGUCCGUUAAAGACAAAAGGUUUUUCUCGAAAAUGAAUUUGUCUAAUAUAGUUUUAUGUGAUUUAACCAAUCUAACUAUUUAACAACAUUUGGUUGAAAUUAUUUGUAAAAUAGAAUACAACGCAAUGAUAGUUUAAAAUACCCACAAUGGUUUUGUGGAAACAUAUGUUAUACUAUUUUAUUUUGCUAUCUUAUAUAUAUCCACCACACAAAAAAAGAAAUUGAUUAAAAUCUACUUCAUAGUAAAAUAUAUUAGUAAAUCCAAGUUAAAAAAAAUGAUGGUAUAUAGCAGUGUUUGAAAUAAAAUUUAACUUAGACAUGAUUACAUGUAAUUAUCAGAUUUUUAAAAGGAACCAACAGAAUAGUGUGUAACAAUAAGUUUUCAAUUGAAAGACUAGAAAGUAUUAAAAUUUGGUUGUAAAUCGUUUUUUGUUUAAUAAAGAGAAUAACUUAUUAAAAGCAAACACAGCGAGAUGAAUAUAUUGCUUAUUAAGUUGUUAACCCUUGUAAAAUAUUAUGAAAGAGCAAAACACACAUUAAACAAAAAGAUUACCCACUUGCUUAUAAAUUCAACACACUGCGUGAUUUUUUUUUCCAAUGUUUAUUUUUUGUGCAGAAGAAAUCAAAAGAAACAUUACUAGAUCGUUUUCAUUAUGACACUUAAGGAUGAGGAUUUGCGUGUGGCAAACACAUAUUUUUGAAUAUAUUUUGGGUGAUUUUAUUUAGCAUUUGGUUACUUGUUUUAAAUAAUUACUAGAUACGGACCCGCGCUGUGCGCUGAUAUGGUUCUGCCAAUUUGUUUAAAAAAUAUUUAGUAAUAUAUUAUAUUUAUAUAAUAUUUUUAUGUUAGUGACUUGAAAAAAAAUAUUUUUUUAAGAUAUAUUGAACUGUGAUGUUGUUAUAACAUAUAUUGUACAUGGUGUUUUUUUGUGUGCAGAAAUUUUUGAUAUUGUGCAUAGUGUUUUUUUUGUUAUAUAUGUUCUUUAAAAUAUAUUUAUAUGUUAUUUAAAAUCUAUUAUUAACAUAUUUGGGAAAAUAAUUUUUUUGGGUCCCCACAUUUAAGAUAUAGUUUACUAUGUUUUAAAAAUAUAUGGUCAAUUUAAAUUAACUGAGAUUAGAUUUAUUUUAAUAGAGUAGAUUAUAAUUUUAAAACAAAAAAGCCUGAUUUUUUUUAUCUCAUUAAACUCAACAUAGAUGUUUUUAUUCAUCUCUUUAAAUGGAAAGAAGUCUGAACUUUGUCUCAUAAAUGGGUCAACCUUAAGUCCAACAUAAAACCAUGCAACAUAUAUGUUUUAUGGGCACUAUUUUGUUUCUUAUAUUUUACACGUGAUGACCCAUUAAGUUUUCAAGCAUUAUAUUUGUUGUUACAGAAAUGGCCCAUUAGUUAAAAACGUAUUAGAUUCAUCGAAAGGUAAAUUAAGGCCACACCUUUUUUUUCCGGGAAGCAAAACCACUUUUAACGUUUUCUUGAAAAAAUCAACAACCUUUUUUUCUUUGCUUCUCCGUCGGUGGUUCUCAGUUCGAGACAAUACUCAUCUCUAUAAUCACCAACAAAAAUUCUUUAAAAGUAUAUCAAAUCCAGAAUAAACACCGUUCAGUCAAUCACCAAACUCAAUCGAUAACUGAGUUCUCGGUAAUUGGCCAGGAUUGUUUAAACGAUGGAUCUUUAAAAAGACAAAAGCAGAGUAGAAGACAAACAGAGAUUUUAAAAAGUUAAGUCUGACCUGAAAUAUAAUCAUAUUACAUAUGUUCACAUCAUCACAGUUUUUAUUUAUUCUCUUGUUGAUCCUUUGCUAUGUUUUCGUUUCUAUUAUUUCCUUGUUCUUAUUUUUUUUUGUCUUUUCAUCUCAUAUAUUGAUAGGUCAUUGAUAAGGGUUGUAUGCCAGAGAAACUGGGAAAUACAGCUUUGGAACAAUUCACAAAAUAAACUACAGAAACAAAGAUUGGGAACGCAGCCGAUGACCAUCAUCCUCAAACCGAGGUUGAUGCUUUCUUUUCAUCCUCUUCAUUGAAGGGCUAUGUUAGCAGAAACUACACGGAUGCAAAUAUAGAUUUAUCAAACAAUCUACUUUGGCUGAUUUACUAAAGGGAGUUCAACAACAGCUUAUUAAAGGUGGAAUUGGUGACGUUGGAGUUGCUGAUGAUCGACAUUUUGUACUUAUGACUUGUCGGUCGGCACUUUCCGGCAGCUGCGGUUAGUGAGAAAUUUUCAAUGAACCUCCAUUGUCCAACUUGAAGUUUCUUAACACGAGCAAAGAAGAGUCUCUUGCAGAAUGAACUGAAGAGAAUCUCCACCAGAAUAAGAUGAAUGUUGUGUCCAUGAAUGCAGGACUUUAACUUCGACCUUCCAAGAUGUUUUGUAUGGUUUGACAUCAUUGAGAAAAGUCAUCGUCGGGUCUGAGGUAAUACUCUUUUUUUUUACAGCAAGACAUUCACAAUACUCUUAUUUGAGGAAAUUACAGAAAUUGUCCACUAUGUGACGAAAACUUCAUGUUUGACCAUGCUGUUAGUGAUCAACAUAAUACUCAAUAUAGUGAUCUCGUCAUUUUUUUUGCUGCUCGAAUGCUUUCUACAAAAUGUGUGUUUAGCCGCGACUCUGGAAGAAAAGUAGGCACUUUCGAACUUCUUUUUUUGUCCUAUAUGUUAGUUGGUUAUGUGCUCUACUAUUAUUAUUAUUUGAAUGUACGUUUAUAUAAUGUUGGUCAAUUAUGAUCCUUUGUUUA
Brassica napus (rape) is the source of this 4301-nucleotide long non-coding RNA. RefSeq lists it as uncharacterized. Lineage: Eukaryota; Viridiplantae; Streptophyta; Magnoliopsida; Brassicales; Brassicaceae. The transcript has 7 exons. The record is from RefSeq and is a predicted model, not a curated record.